This is a long non-coding RNA of Lepus europaeus (European hare), 1533 nucleotides long. RefSeq lists it as uncharacterized. NCBI's taxonomy places the organism in Eukaryota, Metazoa, Chordata, Mammalia, Lagomorpha, Leporidae. The record is from RefSeq and is a predicted model, not a curated record. The transcript is spliced from 4 exons.
CGCCCCUCGAGGCCUCCCGGUGGGCUGUGGCGGGCGCUGGGCUGUAAAGUUGUGAUAAGCAGGCCUGCUGCUACUAGCCCAUUUUCCUGAGUUCCUAAUCUGAACCCAGUAUGGCCAAACAAAACAAAACAAAAAUGUGGAGACAGCAGCAGGAUCCUCAAGGUAAAGCUGUUACCUCAGUGCCGGCACCCCAUGUAGGUACCAUUUCAAGUCCCGACACCUCUACUUCUGAUCCAGCUCCCUGGUGAUGGCCUAGGAAAGCAGUGGAGGAUGGCCCAAAUCUUUGGGCCCCUGCAUUCACGUGGGAGACCUGGAUGAAGCUCCUGGCUCCUGGCUCCUGGCUUCGGUCUGGCCCACCAUUGGCUGUUGCAGUCAUUUGGGGAGUGAACUAGUGGAUGGAAGAUUCUGUUUCUCCCUCUCUGUGUAACUCUGCUUUUCAAGUGAAUAAAAAUAUAUUUUUUAAAAAUAAGAAACCAUUGAAAUACUUAAAUUAACAUUCCCUAAAUGUGUCCUCAGAACUGUGAAUUGGAUAUUUUAUAUGAAAAAAGGAGUGUUGGUGAAUUAGGGUAAAGUGUGAUGUUGUAACAAAUGCCAGCAUGUCAGUGAUGUAAUACAAUAAAAGUUGAUUUUUCUCCAGGAUGUUUCUGGUUCUCUUUGUGAUUAUCCAUGACUCAAUUUCCUUUCAUCUUAUGAUUUUACCAUUUCCUGGGGCCUUGGAUUCUUCUGUUUCCAACUGGUGGAAUUGGAAAGAUAGGGUGAGAAUGCACGCUCUUCUCAGUUACUUUGGCCUAGAUGUGACACUCAGCGGCUGCUGUUCAUAUUUUUAUAUUCUGUUGACCAGAACUAGACAUGUGACCUCAUCUAGCUACAAGGUAAGAGAGAGAGAGAGGGAGAGAGGGAGAGAGAGAGAGAGAGAGAGAGAAUGAAUGUGUGUGUGUGUGUGUGUUUCUGGGGUGAGAAAUGGGAAAGACUAGGUGGAGGCUUAACCUGGACAGCCACAGGUAAGGAAAUAGACAAGCAUUUGUAGUUGGCAAGAGUGGAAAUUGGGGACAUCUGAAUAGAGGGCACUGUGCAGUGUCUGUUACAAAGUUUACAAAAUGCACAUAUCCUUUGAUCUCACUCAAAGUUCUACUUCUAGCAUGUUUUCCUACAGAUAAAUUCACAAAUAUAUGCACAGUUACAUUUUAAGGCUAUAUCUAUACUAUAAUUGUAAGAGAUUGGAAGCAGUCUGAAUGUCCAGUAGAGACAUCUGAGUCUACGCAUUCUUUUAUAUCCAUACAAUGGAACACUCUACAGGUCCUUAGAGAACAAAGCAGCAGCAUUUAUGUAUGGCAAGAGAAAAGCAAGGUACAAAACUCUGUGUGCACUGCUUCCAUCUAUGUACAAUGUAGCCAUACAGUCAGAAUAUUUGUGGGAGGACCACAAGAAACUGUUAAUAGUAAGCACUUCUGGUUAAAACUGGUAAGAGAGAGAAGAUAGGCUGGGAGAGAGACAUGCUUUUACUGUGUACUCUUCUAUACCUUUUAUGGACAU